UAUGAUUUAGUAUAGUAUGUACAUAGAUUUUUGAUAUCUAAGGAAGUAGUUUAAACCUAUUAAUCAUAA
RNAcentral lists this transfer RNA (69 nucleotides) under Eupatorus hardwickei. RNAcentral's name for it is "tRNA-Gln". The record is from RNAcentral. Lineage: Eukaryota; Metazoa; Arthropoda; Insecta; Coleoptera; Scarabaeidae.